Molecule: ribosomal RNA, 408 nt
Filed under: uncultured bacterium
Lineage: Bacteria
Description: bacterial SSU rRNA
Rfam family: Bacterial small subunit ribosomal RNA
Source: RNAcentral
GGACCCGCACAAGUAGUGGAGCAUGUGGUUUAAUUCGAAGAUACGCGCAGAACCUUACCAACACUUGACAUGUUCGUCGCGACUCUAAGAGAUUAGAGUUUUCGGUUCGGCCGGACGAAACACAGGUGCUGCAUGGCUGUCGUCAGCUCGUGUCGUGAGAUGUUGGGUUAAGUCCCGCAACGAGCGCAACCCUCACUUUUAGUUGCCAUCAUUUAGUUGGGCACUCUGAAAGAACUGCCAGUGAUAAGCUGGAGGAAGGUGGGGAUGACGUCAAGUCCUCAUGGCCCUUACGUGUUGGGCUACACACGUGCUACAAUGGACAAUACAAAGGGCAGCUAAACCGCGAGGUCAAGCAAAUCCCAUAAAGUUGUUCUCAGUUCGGAUUGUAGUCUGCAACUCGACUACAUG